UUUGGUUAAGUUAGAAAGGGCGCACGGUGGAUGCCUUGACACUAGGAGUCGAUGAAGGACGGGACUAACGCCGAUAUGCUUCGGGGAGCUGUAAGUAAGCUUUGAUCCGAAGAUUUCCGAAUGGGGAAACCCACCAUACGUAAUGGUAUGGUAUCCUUAUCUGAAUACAUAGGGUAAGGAAGACAGACCCAGGGAACUGAAACAUCUAAGUACCUGGAGGAAGAGAAAGCAAAUGCGAUUUCCUGAGUAGCGGCGAGCGAAACGGAACAUAGCCCAAACCAAGAGGCUUGCCUCUUGGGGUUGUAGGACAUUCUAUACGGAGUUACAAAGGAACGAGGUAGACGAAGCGACCUGGAAAGGUCCGUCGUAGAGGGUAACAACCCCGUAGUCGAAACUUCGUUCUCUCUUGAAUGUAUCCUGAGUACGGCGGAACACGUGAAAUUCCGUCGGAAUCUGGGAGGACCAUCUCCCAAGGCUAAAUACUCCCUAGUGAUCGAUAGUGAACCAGUACCGUGAGGGAAAGGUGAAAAGCACCCCGGAAGGGGAGUGAAAGAGAUCCUGAAACCGUGUGCCUACAAAUAGUCAGAGCCCGUUAACGGGUGAUGGCGUGCCUUUUGUAGAAUGAACCGGCGAGUUACGAUCCCGUGCGAGGUUAAGCUGAAGAGGCGGAGCCGCAGCGAAAGCGAGUCUGAAUAGGGCGUUUAGUACGUGGUCGUAGACCCGAAACCAGGUGAUCUACCCAUGUCCAGGGUGAAGUUCAGGUAACACUGAAUGGAGGCCCGAACCCACGCACGUUGAAAAGUGCGGGGAUGAGGUGUGGGUAGCGGAGAAAUUCCAAUCGAACCUGGAGAUAGCUGGUUCUCCCCGAAAUAGCUUUAGGGCUAGCCUUAAGUGUAAGAGUCUUGGAGGUAGAGCACUGAUUGGACUAGGGGUCCUCAUCGGAUUACCGAAUUCAGUCAAACUCCGAAUGCCAAUGACUUAUCCUUAGGAGUCAGACUGCGAGUGAUAAGAUCCGUAGUCAAAAGGGAAACAGCCCAGACCGCCAGCUAAGGUCCCAAAGUGUGUAUUAAGUGGAAAAGGAUGUGGAGUUGCUUAGACAACUAGGAUGUUGGCUUAGAAGCAGCCACCAUUUAAAGAGUGCGUAAUAGCUCACUAGUCGAGUGACUCUGCGCCGAAAAUGUACCGGGGCUAAAUACACCACCGAAGCUGCGGAUUGAUACCAAUGGUAUCAGUGGUAGGGGAGCGUUCUAAGGACAGUGAAGUCAGACCGUAAGGACUGGUGGAGUGCUUAGAAGUGAGAAUGCCGGUAUGAGUAGCGAAAGACGGGUGAGAAUCCCGUCCACCGAAUGCCUAAGGUUUCCUGAGGAAGGCUCGUCCGCUCAGGGUUAGUCAGGACCUAAGCCGAGGCCGACAGGCGUAGGCGAUGGACAACAGGUUGAUAUUCCUGUACCACCUCUUUAUCGUUUGAGCAAUGGAGGGACGCAGAAGGAUAGAAGAAGCGUGCGAUUGGUUGUGCACGUCCAAGCAGUUAGGCUGAUAAGUAGGCAAAUCCGCUUAUCGGAGCUGAGCUGUGAUGGGGAAGCUCCUUAUGGAGCGAAGUCUUUGAUUCCCCGCUGCCAAGAAAAGCUUCUAGCGAGUAAAAGGUGCCUGUACCGCAAACCGACACAGGUAGGCGAGGAGAGAAUCCUAAGGUGUGCGAGAGAACUCUGGUUAAGGAACUCGGCAAAAUGACCCCGUAACUUCGGGAGAAGGGGUGCUUUCUUAACGGAAAGCCGCAGUGAAUAGGCCCAAGCGACUGUUUAGCAAAAACACAGCUCUCUGCGAAGCCGUAAGGCGAAGUAUAGGGGGUGACACCUGCCCGGUGCUGGAAGGUUAAGGAGAGGGGUUAGCGUAAGCGAAGCUCUGAACUGAAGCCCCAGUAAACGGCGGCCGUAACUAUAACGGUCCUAAGGUAGCGAAAUUCCUUGUCGGGUAAGUUCCGACCCGCACGAAAGGUGUAACGAUUUGGGCACUGUCUCAACCAGAGACUCGGUGAAAUUAUAGUACCUGUGAAGAUGCAGGUUACCCGCGACAGGACGGAAAGACCCCGUGGAGCUUUACUGUAGCCUGAUAUUGAAUUUUGGUACAGUUUGUACAGGAUAGGCGGGAGCCAUUGAAACCGGAGCGCUAGCUUCGGUGGAGGCGCUGGUGGGAUACCGCCCUGACUGUAUUGAAAUUCUAACCUACGGGUCUUAUCGACCCGGGAGACAGUGUCAGGUGGGCAGUUUGACUGGGGCGGUCGCCUCCUAAAGUGUAACGGAGGCGCCCAAAGGUUCCCUCAGAAUGGUUGGAAAUCAUUCGUAGAGUGCAAAGGCAUAAGGGAGCUUGACUGCGAGACCUACAAGUCGAGCAGGGACGAAAGUCGGGCUUAGUGAUCCGGUGGUUCCGCAUGGAAGGGCCAUCGCUCAACGGAUAAAAGCUACCCCGGGGAUAACAGGCUUAUCUCCCCCAAGAGUCCACAUCGACGGGGAGGUUUGGCACCUCGAUGUCGGCUCAUCGCAUCCUGGGGCUGUAGUCGGUCCCAAGGGUUGGGCUGUUCGCCCAUUAAAGCGGUACGCGAGCUGGGUUCAGAACGUCGUGAGACAGUUCGGUCCCUAUCCGUCGUGGGCGUAGGAAAUUUGAGAGGAGCUGUCCUUAGUACGAGAGGACCGGGAUGGACGCACCGCUGGUGUACCAGUUGUUCUGCCAAGGGCAUAGCUGGGUAGCUAUGUGCGGAAGGGAUAAGUGCUGAAAGCAUCUAAGCAUGAAGCCCCCCUCAAGAUGAGAUUUCCCAUAGCGUAAGCUAGUAAGAUCCCUGAAAGAUGAUCAGGUUGAUAGGUUCGAGGUGGAAGCAUGGUGACAUGUGGAGCUGACGAAUACUAAUAGAUCGAGGACUUAACCAUAUAA
This 2925-nucleotide ribosomal RNA is filed under the name Bacillus thuringiensis serovar aizawai. RNAcentral describes it as "bacterial LSU rRNA". It matches the Rfam family "Bacterial large subunit ribosomal RNA". The record is from RNAcentral. Lineage: Bacteria; Bacillati; Bacillota; Bacilli; Caryophanales; Bacillaceae.